GAGUUUGAUCUUGGCUCAGAAUGAACGCUGGCGGCAUGCCUAACACAUGCAAGUCGAACGAAGGCUUCGGCCUUAGUGGCGCACGGGUGCGUAACGCGUGGGAAUCUGCCCUUGGGUUCGGAAUAACAGUUAGAAAUGACUGCUAAUACCGGAUGAUGUCGUAAGACCAAAGAUUUAUCGCCCAAGGAUGAGCCCGCGUAGGAUUAGCUAGUUGGUGGGGUAAGGGCCCACCAAGGCGACGAUCCUUAGCUGGUCUGAGAGGAUGAUCAGCCACACUGGGACUGAGACACGGCCCAGACUCCUACGGGAGGCAGCAGUGGGGAAUAUUGGACAAUGGGCGAAAGCCUGAUCCAGCAAUGCCGCGUGAGUGAUGAAGGCCUUAGGGUUGUAAAGCUCUUUUACCCGGUACUGAUAAUGACAGUACCGGGAGAAUAAGCUCCGGCUAACUUCGUGCCA
RNAcentral lists this ribosomal RNA (456 nucleotides) under uncultured microorganism. RNAcentral describes it as "bacterial SSU rRNA". It matches the Rfam family "Bacterial small subunit ribosomal RNA", at positions 9 to 510 of the family's 1533-position model. The record is from RNAcentral.